Molecule: microRNA precursor, 80 nt
Filed under: Tursiops truncatus (common bottlenose dolphin)
Lineage: Eukaryota; Metazoa; Chordata; Mammalia; Artiodactyla; Delphinidae
Also listed under: 1 other name
Description: miRNA (ENSTTRG00000024915.1)
Rfam family: mir-2290 microRNA precursor family
Source: Rfam by way of RNAcentral
CGCGCCGCCAUGCCGCGAAGCGGGGCGCUGGGGAGCGCUUCGGCACUGCCUCUGGCGGUUGGUUUGUGGAUGGGGGCAGG